UACCACUGCAAUUAUUCUCACCAA
Molecule: non-coding RNA, 24 nt
Filed under: Arabidopsis thaliana (thale cress)
Lineage: Eukaryota; Viridiplantae; Streptophyta; Magnoliopsida; Brassicales; Brassicaceae
Source: RNAcentral